AAGUAUAAAUUUUGAUAUAGUGAGACUGCGAACGGCUCAAUAGGCUCAGUUAUAGUUUAUUUGAUAAUGGCGUUUUCGGACGAUUUUUAAUUGGAUAACCGUAGAAAAUCUAGAGCUAAUACAUGCGAAUUUAAAGGGGAACUUUUUUGAGGAACCUCUGUAUUUAUUAGAAUAAAGAAAACCAAACUAGGUAGCAAUAUCUAGUCAAAAACAAAAACGUGAAUGAUAAUAACUUGUGAGAUUGGAAAGCGUUGAUUGUGUAGUAGCAAUAUUGCAUAGUCGACAUCACUUUUCAGUUUCCUUGGCGAAUCGAAUUUAGGUUGAAAAAAACCUUCGAUGAUUGAUUCAAAUUUCUGCUCUAUCAACUUUUUCGCAGUGUAGUGGACUGCGAAGGUUAUGACGGGUUCAGGGAGUAAGGGCUCGACUCUGGAGAGGGCGCCUUAGAGAUGGCGACCACUUCUAAGGAAGGCAGCAGGCACGUAACUUACCCAAUGUUCACAUUGAACGAGGUAGUGACGGUAAAUAUAAAUACAGAUCACCUUAAAUGGAGAUUUGUAAUUUAAAUGAGUACAAUUUAAAAAGCUUAACAAGGAUCAAUUGGAGGGCAAGUCUGGUGCCAGCAGCCGCGGUAAUUCCAGCUCCAAUAGCGUAUAUUAUAGUUGUUGCAGUUAAAAAGUUCGUAGUUGGAUUUUAAGAAUGAUAUGCAUAAAGGGUUUUAGGAUUGAAAAACAAUCUUAAGAUACCUUUAAUCAUUCUCGGCGAUGUAUAUCGUCAUUGAGUAAGUGGUUGUAAGUCGGUGGAGCCUUAAAAACUUUACUCUUACAAAUUUAUUAAAAAAGCCAUCUUACUUCGUUUACUUUGAGGAAAUUCGAGUGUUCAAAGCAGGCAACAUUAGUUUUGCCAUUUUUUGAAGAUCACAGCAUAGUAUAAUAAAAUAGGUUCUGAUAAACAAGAGUUACUAUAUCUUUUUGGUUUUGACUUGUUGGGGAUAUUCAUAUUUGAUUGCUAGAGGUGAAAUUCUUGGAUUUUUCAAAGAUGAACUAAUGCGAAAGCAUUUAUCAAGGAUGUUUUCAUGUGAUCAAGAACGAAAGAAAAGGGAUCAAAGACGAUCAGAUACCGUUGUAAUCUUUCUAUCUGUAAACGAUGCCGACCAAAGAUGGGAAGCCCAAAAAUGGUAUUGUAAAAGAUAUCAUUUGGUUGCUAAAUUAAUUGAUUGAAUAGCAAUAUUCUUUUCAAUUUAAUGCCCUUUCCCGGAUUUUGUGAGAAAUCAUUGAGUUUUCUGGCUCUGGGGGGAGUAUGGUCGCAAGACUGAAACUUAAAGAAAUUGACGGAAUGAUACACAACGACGUGGAACCUGCGGCU
This 1362-nucleotide ribosomal RNA is filed under the name uncultured soil eukaryote. RNAcentral's name for it is "SSU rRNA". It matches the Rfam family "Eukaryotic small subunit ribosomal RNA", at positions 61 to 1190 of the family's 1831-position model. The record is from RNAcentral.